GAUUGCCUCAGUAACGGCGAGUGAAGCGGCAACAGCUCAAAUUUGAAAUCUGGCCUCUUCGGGGCCCGAGUUGUAAUUUGUAGAGGAUGUUUCGGGUACCGCCUCGGUUUAAAUUUCUUGGAACAGAAUGUCAUAGAGGGUGAGAAUCCCGUCUUGGACCGGCGGUAGGGCCCAUGUGAAACUCCUUCGACGAGUCGAGUUGUUUGGGAAUGCAGCUCAAAAUGGGUGGUAAAUUUCAUCUAAAGCUAAAUAUUGGCCAGAGACCGAUAGCGCACAAGUAGAGUGAUCGAAAGAUGAAAAGAACUUUGAAAAGAGAGUUAAACAGUAUGUGAAAUUGUUGAAAGGGAAGCGCUGGCAACCAGACUUGAGCGCGGCGGUUCCCCCUUCCUUUUGGUUGGGUUACUCCGCCGUGUCCAGGCCAACAUCGGUUCUGGGGGUCGGUCAAAGGCCCGGGGAAUGUAUCUACUCCUUCGGGGGUAGACUUAUAGCCCCGGGUGUCAUGCGACCACCCGGGACCGAGGAACGCGCUUCGGCUCGGAUGUUGGCGUAAUGGUUGUCAGCGACCCGUCUUGAAACACGGACCAAGGAGUCUAACAUCUAUGCGAGUGUUUGGGUGUCAAACCCGGAACGCGGAAUGAAAGUGAACGGAGGUAGGAAGCCUUUGGGCUGCACUAUCGACCGAUCCUGAUGUCUUCGGAUGGAUUUGAGUAAGAGCAUAGCUGUUGGGACCCGAAAGAUGGUGAACUAUGCCUGAAUAGGGUGAAGCCAGAGGAAACUCUGGUGGAGGCUCGCAGCGGUUCUGACGUGCAAAUCGAUCGUCAAAUUUGGGUAUAGGGGCGAAAGACUAAUCGAACCAUCUGGUAGCUGGUUCCUGCCGAAGUUUCCCUCAGGAUAGCAGUAACGAAAUCAGUUUUAUGAGGUAAAGCGAAUGAUUAGAGGCCUUGGGGUUGAAACAACCUUAACCUAUUCUCAAACUUUAAAUAUGUAAGAAGCCCUUGUUGCUUAAUUGAACGUGGGCAUUUGAAUGUAUCGUUACUAGUGGGCCAUUUUUGGUAAGCAGAACUGGCGAUGCGGGAUGAACCGAACGUGAGGUUAAGGUGCCGGAAUGCACGCUCAUCAGACACCACAAAAGGUGUCAAUGCAUCUAGACAGCCGGACGGUGGCCAUGGAAGUCGGAAUCCGCUUAGGAGUGUGUAACAACUCACCGGCCGAAUGCAUUGGCCCUGAAAAUGGAUGGCGCUUAAGCGUGCUACCUAUACCUCGCCGUUAGGGUUGACAUGAUGCCCUAACGAGUAGGCAGGCGUGGAGGUCCGUGACGAAGC
RNAcentral lists this ribosomal RNA (1322 nucleotides) under Exophiala jeanselmei. RNAcentral describes it as "LSU rRNA". It matches the Rfam family "Eukaryotic large subunit ribosomal RNA", at positions 73 to 1409 of the family's 3401-position model. Lineage: Eukaryota; Fungi; Ascomycota; Eurotiomycetes; Chaetothyriales; Herpotrichiellaceae. The record is from RNAcentral.